AGGCUGUUGGAUCGUGCACCGGGGAAUGAGACGAGGUGAGCUGGUUGCUGCUUUGAAAAAGAAGCACGUGGCCAUCCCUAUGAUAUUGGACUCAAGGUUCGAGAUUGAGAUGUCGCCAUCCCCUGCAGUGGGUGGCAAGUACAAGAAAAAAGAAGACGGAGGACAAGACGUCCACUGUGUCGCUUGUGGAGCAUGCCUGACUGGUUGAAAAGCUGCGGUCGGCAAAGCAGAGGGUGGUCAACCUGGAGCAGGAGCUCCAGAUAGAGAGGAUGCUAUCAAGAAGACUGCAGUAGCAGCUGCUGGCACUACUGGUGGACAAUGUCCCGUCUGGCGGUGUUGGGUCAGCUCCUACAGCUUGCCCAGCAGCAGUCCCUGCAGCUGGUGCUCCUGCUCCAGUUCGCGUUGUGCGAGCUGGUGUAGAUCACACUCAACCCGUACCGGCCGCUGGUGCUGCUGUUCCAGCAGCGGUUCUUGUAGCAGGCCCUCUGGAGGCACCUCCCGAGUGUAUGCCAGUGCUUGCAGAGGUCGAUGAUGAGGCAAGUUCAGAAUUUCAUUGAAUAUUCAUUUCAGAUAUUGGGCAAGUGACUACAUUUUAUGGUUUCCACAGCUCCUUGAAUGAGGUUAUUUGUAUGCUUCCUUAAAUUGAACCAUCGUCCUGCUUCAAAAUGCUGAUGAAUGUAAAGAGUAGAAUCGGGCAUUGAUAAGAUAUUUCUUCCCAAUUAAUUGGCGCUUUUCUGCAACGUCUUCUAUCUAGUGUCCUCGUUUUAUUUCGAGCUUGUUCAUAAAUCGUGUACCACGAGCCCAGAUUAAAAUUCCGUUAUAAUUAGUACCAUUCUUUCGCUCUUUCUCUUUACUCAGAACUCACUUAAACGGACACUUACAACCUCCCCCCCCCCCCCCAAAGUUUCAUUUUUUGCCAGGCGAUUUGUUAUGGUGUCGAAAGACUACAUAAUUAAUAUUUUGCAACAGAAUCACAUAUAUUUUUAUUAAAGCCAGAAAACGUAACUGCUCAGAACCGAAGCAGAAACCUGUGCACGGAGGUCGAAGAAGUGGAGAGGAGAUAGUGAGUGGAAGAGGUCACGUGGCUACACCCGACUGUGAGCUUUUUGUUUUCCCUUUCGUGUCCUUUUCUUUUGU
Long non-coding RNA from Ixodes scapularis (black-legged tick), 1137 nucleotides. RefSeq lists it as uncharacterized. NCBI's taxonomy places the organism in Eukaryota, Metazoa, Arthropoda, Arachnida, Ixodida, Ixodidae. The transcript is spliced from 4 exons. The record is from RefSeq and is a predicted model, not a curated record.